Paramuricea clavata is the source of this 125-nucleotide non-coding RNA. NCBI's taxonomy places the organism in Eukaryota, Metazoa, Cnidaria, Anthozoa, Malacalcyonacea, Plexauridae. The record is from the annotation of a GenBank genome assembly.
CAUGGCCUUCUCUCCUCCGCAGAGGCUUCUGUUGGCUAUGACUACGAUUAGUAUUGAAUACAUUUCACUACACUUUACAUGGCGGAUCUUGGAACGAUAAAGCCUCUGCGGAGGAGAGAGGCCAU